UAAGGAAUAUUGGUCAAUGGACGCAAGUCUGAACCAGCCAUGCCGCGUGAAGGAUGAAGGUCCUCUGGAUUGUAAACUUCUUUUAUCUGGGACGAAAACGGGAUUUUUAUCUCAACUGACGGUACCAGAGGAAUAAGCACCGGCUAACUCCGUACCAGCAGCCGCGGUAAUACGGAGGGUGCGAGCGUUAUCCGGAUUUACUGGGUUUAAAGGGUGCGUAGGUGGGCUUAUAAGUCAGUGGUGAAAUCUCCGAGCUUAACUUGGAAACUGCCGUUGAUACUAUAGGUCUUGAAUUAUCUGGAGGUAAGCGGAAUAUGUCAUGUAGCGGUGAAAUGCUUAGAUAUGACAUAGAACACCAAUUGCGAAGGCAGCUUACUACAUAUAAAUUGACGCUGAGGCACGAAAGCGUGGGGAUCAAACA
Molecule: ribosomal RNA, 421 nt
Filed under: uncultured bacterium
Lineage: Bacteria
Description: bacterial SSU rRNA
Rfam family: Bacterial small subunit ribosomal RNA
Source: RNAcentral